UUUGGUUAAGUUAGAAAGGGCGCACGGUGGAUGCCUUGACACUAGGAGUCGAUGAAGGACGGGACUAACGCCGAUAUGCUUCGGGGAGCUGUAAGUAAGCUUUGAUCCGAAGAUUUCCGAAUGGGGAAACCCACCAUACGUAAUGGUAUGGUAUCCUUAUCUGAAUACAUAGGGUAAGGAAGACAGACCCAGGGAACUGAAACAUCUAAGUACCUGGAGGAAGAGAAAGCAAAUGCGAUUUCCUGAGUAGCGGCGAGCGAAACGGAACAUAGCCCAAACCAAGAGGCUUGCCUCUUGGGGUUGUAGGACAUUCUAUACGGAGUUACAAAGGAACGAGGUAGACGAAGCGACCUGGAAAGGUCCGUCGUAGAGGGUAACAACCCCGUAGUCGAAACUUCGUUCUCUCUUGAAUGUAUCCUGAGUACGGCGGAACACGUGAAAUUCCGUCGGAAUCUGGGAGGACCAUCUCCCAAGGCUAAAUACUCCCUAGUGAUCGAUAGUGAACCAGUACCGUGGGGGAAAGGUGAAAAGCACCCCGGAAGGGGAGUGAAAGAGAUCCUGAAACCGUGUGCCUACAAAUAGUCAGAGCCCGUUAACGGGUGAUGGCGUGCCUUUUGUAGAAUGAACCGGCGAGUUACGAUCCCGUGCGAGGUUAAGCUGAAGAGGCGGAGCCGCAGCGAAAGCGAGUCUGAAUAGGGCGUUUAGUACGUGGUCGUAGACCCGAAACCAGGUGAUCUACCCAUGUCCAGGGUGAAGUUCAGGUAACACUGAAUGGAGGCCCGAACCCACGCACGUUGAAAAGUGCGGGGAUGAGGUGUGGGUAGCGGAGAAAUUCCAAUCGAACCUGGAGAUAGCUGGUUCUCCCCGAAAUAGCUUUAGGGCUAGCCUUAAGUGUAAGAGUCUUGGAGGUAGAGCACUGAUUGGACUAGGGGUCCUCAUCGGAUUACCGAAUUCAGUCAAACUCCGAAUGCCAAUGACUUAUCCUUAGGAGUCAGACUGCGAGUGAUAAGAUCCGUAGUCAAAAGGGAAACAGCCCAGACCGCCAGCUAAGGUCCCAAAGUGUGUAUUAAGUGGAAAAGGAUGUGGAGUUGCUUAGACAACUAGGAUGUUGGCUUAGAAGCAGCCACCAUUUAAAGAGUGCGUAAUAGCUCACUAGUCGAGUGACUCUGCGCCGAAAAUGUACCGGGGCUAAAUACACCACCGAAGCUGCGGAUUGAUACCGAAUGGUAUCAGUGGUAGGGGAGCGUUCUAAGGACAGUGAAGUCAGACCGGAAGGACUGGUGGAGUGCUUAGAAGUGAGAAUGCCGGUAUGAGUAGCGAAAGACGGGUGAGAAUCCCGUCCACCGAAUGCCUAAGGUUUCCUGAGGAAGGCUCGUCCGCUCAGGGUUAGUCAGGACCUAAGCCGAGGCCGACAGGCGUAGGCGAUGGACAACAGGUUGAUAUUCCUGUACCACCUCUUUAUCGUUUGAGCAAUGGAGGGACGCAGAAGGAUAGAAGAAGCGUGCGAUUGGUUGUGCACGUCCAAGCAGUUAGGCUGAUAAGUAGGCAAAUCCGCUUAUCGUAAAGGCUGAGCUGUGAUGGGGAAGCUCCUUAUGGAGCGAAGUCUUUGAUUCCCCGCUGCCAAGAAAAGCUUCUAGCGAGAUAAAAGGUGCCUGUACCGCAAACCGACACAGGUAGGCGAGGAGAGAAUCCUAAGGUGUGCGAGAGAACUCUGGUUAAGGAACUCGGCAAAAUGACCCCGUAACUUCGGGAGAAGGGGUGCUUUCUUAACGGAAAGCCGCAGUGAAUAGGCCCAAGCGACUGUUUAGCAAAAACACAGCUCUCUGCGAAGCCGUAAGGCGAAGUAUAGGGGGUGACACCUGCCCGGUGCUGGAAGGUUAAGGAGAGGGGUUAGCGUAAGCGAAGCUCUGAACUGAAGCCCCAGUAAACGGCGGCCGUAACUAUAACGGUCCUAAGGUAGCGAAAUUCCUUGUCGGGUAAGUUCCGACCCGCACGAAAGGUGUAACGAUUUGGGCACUGUCUCAACCAGAGACUCGGUGAAAUUAUAGUACCUGUGAAGAUGCAGGUUACCCGCGACAGGACGGAAAGACCCCGUGGAGCUUUACUGUAGCCUGAUAUUGAAUUUUGGUACAGUUUGUACAGGAUAGGCGGGAGCCUUUGAAACCGGAGCGCUAGCUUCGGUGGAGGCGCUGGUGGGAUACCGCCCUGACUGUAUUGAAAUUCUAACCUACGGGUCUUAUCGACCCGGGAGACAGUGUCAGGUGGGCAGUUUGACUGGGGCGGUCGCCUCCUAAAGUGUAACGGAGGCGCCCAAAGGUUCCCUCAGAAUGGUUGGAAAUCAUUCGUAGAGUGCAAAGGCAUAAGGGAGCUUGACUGCGAGACCUACAAGUCGAGCAGGGACGAAAGUCGGGCUUAGUGAUCCGGUGGUUCCGCAUGGAAGGGCCAUCGCUCAACGGAUAAAAGCUACCCCGGGGAUAACAGGCUUAUCUCCCCCAAGAGUCCACAUCGACGGGGAGGUUUGGCACCUCGAUGUCGGCUCAUCGCAUCCUGGGGCUGUAGUCGGUCCCAAGGGUUGGGCUGUUCGCCCAUUAAAGCGGUACGCGAGCUGGGUUCAGAACGUCGUGAGACAGUUCGGUCCCUAUCCGUCGUGGGCGUAGGAAAUUUGAGAGGAGCUGUCCUUAGUACGAGAGGACCGGGAUGGACGCACCGCUGGUGUACCAGUUGUUCUGCCAAGGGCAUAGCUGGGUAGCUAUGUGCGGAAGGGAUAAGUGCUGAAAGCAUCUAAGCAUGAAGCCCCCCUCAAGAUGAGAUUUCCCAUAGCGUAAGCUAGUAAGAUCCCUGAAAGAUGAUCAGGUUGAUAGGUUCGAGGUGGAAGCAUGGUGACAUGUGGAGCUGACGAAUACUAAUAGAUCGAGGACUUAACCAUAUAA
Molecule: ribosomal RNA, 2930 nt
Filed under: Bacillus cereus
Lineage: Bacteria; Bacillati; Bacillota; Bacilli; Caryophanales; Bacillaceae
Description: bacterial LSU rRNA
Rfam family: Bacterial large subunit ribosomal RNA
Source: RNAcentral